RNA transcript from Populus trichocarpa (black cottonwood), 3232 nucleotides. It is a transcript of the gene named protein STRUBBELIG-RECEPTOR FAMILY 3, with no coding region annotated. The transcript has 17 exons. The record is from RefSeq and is a predicted model, not a curated record. Lineage: Eukaryota; Viridiplantae; Streptophyta; Magnoliopsida; Malpighiales; Salicaceae.
AGUAUGGUUUAUCCACAUCGCCCACCAUAUUCUAUAUUCCCAUUGAAUAAAGUAGAAGCAUAUAAAUUAUAGUAUAUUACAUUUUCCCACAGAGGAAACAGCAACCAUCGUUUUCCAUAAUAAUGCCGUUGCUUUCCCUUUGCUUUCUCUUUUCAUUAAAACACAGCACAUCUGCACUGCACUCUGCACUCUCCCGAAACCCCAACUCUGAACUCACUCUCUACUUUACUUCUGAUCUCAACAAGAAUUUUAAGAUUUUUUCAAUCACUAUCGCUUCUUAAUUCUGUCUGCAUUCAAUUAUCCUCUGAUUUACUCUCUCUCUGAAAUCUUUAAGAUUUUCAAUUUCUGUUCAAAAACCUUUCCUUUUGUUUCUCUCUCUAUAUAAAUGUAAAAUUAUGCACCAAAACAUUAUUUUUUAUAUGUGCGUGUUUGAUUUGUGAGAAAAUAUUGAAGAAAAGAAGGGAAAGUUUGAGUCUUUUCAAGUGAGCACAAAUGGGGUUUGUCAAGUGUGGGGUGUUUUUUGUCUCGGUGGCGGUUCUCAUGGCUUCCUUUUCUGUUUCUUACACUGACCCUAAUGAUGUGACUGCAAUGAAUAGCUUGUUUGUUAGCUUGCAAUAUCCGCAGUUGAUUGGUUGGGUUGCUAUGGGAGGAGACCCAUGUUCAGAUGCAUGGCAAGGAGUUGGUUGUGUAUUCUCAAACAUAACCUCAUUAACACUAAAUGGCUUGAAUUUAGGGGGAACCUUGAACAACGAUUUCAAUAAAUUUACAUCAAUCAUAGAUAUAGAUGUUAGUGAUAAUCAUAUUGGAGGGGAUAUUCCAUCGGCGUUACCCUCUACCUUGAGGAACUUUUCUCUUGCUCGCAAUCAGUUCACUGGAAGAAUUCCAGAUACUUUAAACUCAUUAGGUCAACUGUUAGACUUAUCUUUCCACAAUAAUCAGCUAAUUGGAGGAAUACCAGAUGUCUUUCAACAAAUGACAAGUUUGUCAAAUUUGGAUCUGUCUGGUAAUAAUUUGAGUGAUCAGCUGCCUCCUUCAAUGGGAACUUUGUCUUCUCUCAGCACAUUGCAUUUGCAGAACAAUAGACUUACUGGGACCCUUAAUGUCCUGCAGGAUCUUCCCCUCGAGUAUCUGAAUGUGGAGAACAAUCUAUUUUCUGGGCCUAUUCCGGAGAAGCUGCUGGAUAUUCCAAAUUUCAGAAAAGAUGGAAAUCCCUUCAAUACAUCUAUCAUUCCUUCUCCACCACCUGCCAUCUCUCCAUUUCCAAGCUUGCCACCUGUUGCAGAAGCACCUCAGAAGCAGGCAAAUGGUCCUUCUGCCUCAGUAACACUAAAGUCUGGAAGAUCAAAAGGAUUUUUUGCAUCUAAGAGGGUCAUUUGGAUUGCUGUUAUAGGGGUAGUUGUUAUUAUUAUCAUACUGGGAUUAUGUCUUUUAAUGUCAACAUGCUGCAAAGGAAGGAAAGCAAAUGAAGAAGACAAUGAGAGGCACAAUGUUAGUGUAUAUAAGAGCCAUAUAGAUGAGCCCAUCAGUAAAUCUUCAUUUGAACGAAACAAUCAAGAGAAAGUUACCAAAGAAUCAACCGUAAAGCUGCAAGAUCAAUAUGGACAAGAAGCCAGAAGGCAGGAAGCAUAUCCAAAGGCACAGGGUGAACAGGAUAUUGAUUUGAAGAGAAUGGCUGCAUAUUCAAAGCAAAAGAUGGAUCAUGGGAUAAACAUGACAAGCAUGGAUGCAAAUUUUAUGCCACUGCAGCCGCUGCCCCCACCUCCCCCAAGCCUUCCUAUUGGCAAUGUCAUUGCAAAUCCAAUUGGGCAUGCAGCUCAUGAAAAGAGUCAUUCAACCGGGACUCUGAGCUCACAUUUUCCAAGGAUUUUCACCAUUGCUACACUUCAGCAGUACUCAAACAGCUUUUCAGAAGAAAAUUUUGUUGGUGAAGGGACACUUGGCAGUGUUUACAGGGCUGAGCUUCCUAGUGGAAAACUACUGGCAGUCAAGAAGCUAAACAGUGGAGCUUCCAAGCAACAGACUGAUGAGGAAUUUCUUCAACUAGUUUCUAGCAUAUCGAAAACUCAACAUGAUAAUAUCGUGGAGUUUGUGGGAUACUGUAAUGAGCAUGGGCAACGGUUACUUGUUUAUGAGUAUUGCAAAAAUGGGACAUUGUAUGAUGCAUUGCAUGCGGAUGAUGAAAUCCAUAGGAAAUUCUCAUGGAAUGCACGUGUCCGGCUGGCACUAGGAGCUGCUAGAGCCCUCCAGUAUCUGCAUGAGGUUUGUCAACCACCUAUUGUGCACUGGAAUUUUAAAUCUUCCAACAUUCUCCUUGAUGAUAAGCUAGUAGCUCGUGUCUCAGACUGUGGCCUGGCUCCUCUGAAAUCAUCUGGCUUUGCAACUGAGUUAUCAGGGCGCGUCCUCAGUGCUCAUGGUUAUGGGGCUCCAGAGCUUGAGUUGGGAAGUUAUACUAGCAAGAGUGAUGUAUAUAGCUUUGGAGUUGUGAUGCUAGAGCUCCUCACCGGUAGAAAAUCUUAUGACAGGUCAUUGAGUCGAGGGGAGCAAUCUCUGGUUAGAUGGGCAAUUCAUCAGCUUCAUGAUAUAGAUGCACUUUCUAGGAUGGUUGACCCCUCUAUAAAGGGGGCAUGUCCUGUGAAGUCUUUAUCACGUUUUGCUGAUAUAAUAUCUAGAUGUGUGCAGUGGGAGCCCGAAUUCAGGCCACUUAUGUCUGAAAUCGUUCAGGAUCUUUUAUGUAUGUUAUAGAGGAGGACCUCAAAAGUCAAGCUUAUUAGAAAAUGGCCAGGCCAAGAUUUUUGCGAGGUCAUUUGUUAGGCUUGAUGGCAGCCCACUUCAUGUCUUUUCUAUUAGCUCGAGAGCCAGUCGUUAACUUGAAACCGUGUGCUCAUCUCCAUAAUUGGAUCCAGUGGAUGGUGAGGGGUCUCUCUAAGUUCUUUCCCUUUUAUUUUCAGAAGUGCCGCCUUUCUGUAAUUAUAAUGACCAGAUAUGCUUCAGCUUUUUCACAACAGAGCAGCAGUAAUCAAGUGCAAGUGUGAUUUUUAAUAAAGAAAUAAAAAUAUUGUAAAAGGGCAAAGGCCGGGGACAGAAAUUCUUUAGAUUUUAUGGGUGCUAAGUUGCUGGUGAGCCUGAGAUGUCGGCCGGCUCCCUGACAGUCAAAUACUAUUCUUUUGCUUUAUCAUAUUUAAUUUCCAAAUCAGUGUCCAUACAAAAUAACCUAACAUGUCGACAAUUAGAA